GCUCACUUCGGCAGAGCAUAUACUAAAAUUGGAAUGAUACAGAGAAGAUUAGCAUGGC
Small nuclear RNA from Homo sapiens (human), 58 nucleotides. The record is from Ensembl. Lineage: Eukaryota; Metazoa; Chordata; Mammalia; Primates; Hominidae.